RNAcentral lists this ribosomal RNA (494 nucleotides) under uncultured bacterium. RNAcentral describes it as "bacterial SSU rRNA". It matches the Rfam family "Bacterial small subunit ribosomal RNA", at positions 8 to 518 of the family's 1533-position model. The record is from RNAcentral.
AGAGUUUGAUCAUGGCUCAGGAUGAACGCUGGCGGCGUGCUUAACACAUGCAAGUCGAACGAAGUUAGAGAGCUUGCUUUUAAAUUAGUGGCGGACGGGUGAGUAACGCGUGGGUAACCUGCCUUUCACAGGGGGAUAACAGUUAGAAAUGACUGCUAAUACCGCAUAAGCGCACAGGACGGCAUCGUCUAGUGUGAAAAAACUCCGGUGGUGAAAGAUGGACCCGCGUCUGAUUAGCUAGUUGGUGAGGUAACGGCUCACCAAGGCGACGAUCAGUAGCCGGCCUGAGAGGGUGAACGGCCACAUUGGGACUGAGACACGGCCCAAACUCCUACGGGAGGCAGCAGUGGGGAAUAUUGCACAAUGGGGGAAACCCUGAUGCAAGCGACGCCGCGUGAGUGAAGAAGUAUUUCGGUAUGUAAAGCUCUAUCAGCAGGGAAGAAAAUGACGGUACCUGACUAAGAAGCCCCGGCUAACUACGUGCCAGCAGCCGC